UACGGAGGGAGCUAGCGUUGUUCGGAAUUACUGGGCGUAAAGCGCGUGUAGGCGGUCUGAAUAGUCUGCUGUGAAAGCGCCUGGCUUAACCGGGCGAGGUCGGCGGAAACUCUCAGACUGGAGGCCGGUAGAGGGGGGUGGAAUUCCCGGUGUAGUGGUGAAAUGCGUAGAGAUCGGGAGGAACACCUGUGGCGAAGGCGGCCCCCUGGGCCGCGCCUGACGCUGAGACGCGAAGGCUAGGGGAGCGAACGGG
RNAcentral lists this ribosomal RNA (253 nucleotides) under uncultured bacterium. RNAcentral's name for it is "partial 16S ribosomal RNA". It matches the Rfam family "Bacterial small subunit ribosomal RNA", at positions 524 to 776 of the family's 1533-position model. The record is from RNAcentral.